Non-coding RNA from Lactuca sativa (garden lettuce), 1112 nucleotides. The record is from RefSeq and is a predicted model, not a curated record. Lineage: Eukaryota; Viridiplantae; Streptophyta; Magnoliopsida; Asterales; Asteraceae.
CUUAUAAUUAAAAAUAAAACGGAAAAACCCUUCAAAAAAUUAAAAUGACCGGUUAAUAAUACACAAUUAAUGCUUAAGAUUCUAAUUAAAAGCAUGAUCUUCAAGCAGUUGGAGCCGAUUCACAAACGGUUCGUCUGCCACCAAGAGAGAGGGCACCUGAACUCUUCAUAUUCUUCUUCCUUUUCGUAUCUACUUUUCUAAUGUGGUUCCUCGGAGUACUUGUUUUCUUGAAAUUACCAGGGUUUUCCUCUGGUCUUCGUUCUCCUUCUUAUUCAUCCUUUUCCUCCUCUUGAUCCAAAAUACAUUCUAUAAACCCAUUUUUCUUCAUGUAUUUGUUGUCCAUUCUAUAAACCCACAUUAUACCUACUUACAAGUUACAAUUUCCAUCGGAUGAAUAAUACAUCUCACGCCACCUACUUUGCUUUUCUGCCAUCUUCUUUUCCCUUCUGGAUGGAACGAUUCACUUAACUUCUCCUCUACCGCCUUUCUUUCUUGAAACGGAAGCCUUUCAUCCCCAAUAUCAACUUAUACGCCCCAACGCAUUCUUUUGUUUGAUCUCAGCAAAUCAAACCUCCGGUAUCUUGAAGUAAAUCAGAGAAAUCAAGAACGAUGUUCUGCAUGGUUUUCCCACAUCUCUGAUUUCACCCUAAUCGUGACCUUUUCACUGGCUCCUGCGCCGGCGAUGGCCACCAUGGACAGAGGGUGUCUUAUUCCGGAAUAUGGAUGUUGCCACCUGAAACCAUGGUGCCCCCUUCAAAGCCAACCUCAUGAGAAACCAACAUCUCCAAAGGACCUGGCACUAAGUUAUGGGAAAAGACAGAAAUUUUUUCUUUAACCAAUUAUAUUCAGUGAUGGUGGGGAUGCUGAAUCUUGUUAUACUCCAAGUGUAUUGAGAAAUAGCAAAAUACUUUCAUUGCUUAAUCCAGUGGGGAUACUGAAUCUAGUUAUACUUCAAGUGUAUGGAGAAAUAGCAAAAUACUUUUAUUUCUUACUCCAGGUAUGUUCCAAAAAACGUCUGUAUAUUUUUGUUGUAUGUUCCAAAAGGGCUAAAUGCAAGAAUUAGCAAAAUACUUUAAGUUCUGCUAUGAAGUAACUAAACAAAAUGAUAUUUA